UACAGAGGGUGCAAGCGUUGUUCGGAAUUACUGGGCGUAAAGCGUUUGUAGGCUGUUCUGAGAGUCCUAGGUGAAAUCCCCGAGCUUAACUCGGGAACUGCCUAGGAGACCUCAGCACUAGAGUACUGAAGGGGUUGCUGGAAUUCCAUGUGUAGCGGUGAAAUGCGUAGAUAUAUGGAGGAACACCUGUGGCGAAGGCGGGCAACUGGUCAGAGACUGACGCUGAGAAACGAAAGCGUGGGGAGCAAACGGG
This 253-nucleotide ribosomal RNA is filed under the name uncultured bacterium. RNAcentral's name for it is "partial 16S ribosomal RNA". It matches the Rfam family "Bacterial small subunit ribosomal RNA", at positions 524 to 776 of the family's 1533-position model. The record is from RNAcentral.